GCUAACCAUACCUAGGCGAAAACACCAGUUCCCGUCCGAUCACUGCAGUUCAGUGUCUGAGGAUCUUGUGAUUAAUAUGCUCCGAAAAAACAUUGGAAUCCAAGGUCCUGUUGGCU
RNAcentral lists this ribosomal RNA (116 nucleotides) under Schizosaccharomyces cryophilus OY26. The record is from RNAcentral. Lineage: Eukaryota; Fungi; Ascomycota; Schizosaccharomycetes; Schizosaccharomycetales; Schizosaccharomycetaceae.